UUUCCCAAGCGCCACACAGGCCAGUGAGAUCCACCCUGCAAACAAGAGUCUGUCACCUCGCGAAGACAUGACAUCUAUGAAGCAGCCAGGAAGGAAUUCCCUGUUCUACUUCCUGGCACAGCAAUAACCCGGGGGCUUGUUAGCCAAAUGCUGGAAUUUUGUAGCACAGCCCCACCAAGUCUGCAUUUAGCAAACCAGGGAAGCAAACUGUAAGAAUAAACAGAAGAUACACACACCCCCACAUCCUGAUGGCUGGGCCCCAGACUCCGCGGUUCUGACAGCUGAUCCAUUCCGACUGCCCUUCAGAGCUGCACGCUGGAGCAACUGCAGCCCUUGAAGCAUGGUGGGCAGACAGGAGCACAGAGCUUGGCUCUCCUCGGGCUGCAGCCGAGCUUAGGUGAAUGAAAGACGACAAGACAGUGGUGGAAAGACAGAGAGCCCCAAAGGCCAACGAGACAGAGGAUCCUGCAGCAAGAGGGGACCUCGCAAAAACGCAGCUUGGUGAAUGAGUAUCAUUUGGGAUCGGCACAAGACAUAAUACCAAUU
Molecule: long non-coding RNA, 546 nt
Organism: Microtus oregoni (creeping vole)
Lineage: Eukaryota; Metazoa; Chordata; Mammalia; Rodentia; Cricetidae
Exons: 3
Source: RefSeq, a predicted model, not a curated record